Molecule: ribosomal RNA, 448 nt
Filed under: uncultured bacterium
Lineage: Bacteria
Description: bacterial SSU rRNA
Rfam family: Bacterial small subunit ribosomal RNA
Source: RNAcentral
UGGGGAAUAUUGGACAAUGGGCGCAAGCCUGAUCCAGCCAUGCCGCGUGAGUGACGAAGGUCUUCGGAUUGUAAAGCUCUUUUUGGCGGGGACGAUAAUGACGGUACCCGCAGAAUAAGCCCCGGCUAACUUCGUGCCAGCAGCCGCGGUAAUACGAAGGGGGCUAGCGUUGUUCGGAAUUACUGGGCGUAAAGCGCACGUAGGCGGACUCUUAAGUCAGGGGUGAAAUCCCGGGGCUCAACCUCGGAACUGCCCUUGAUACUGUGAGUCUCGAGACCGGAAGAGGUGAGUGGAAUUCCUAGUGUAGAGGUGAAAUUCGUAGAUAUUAGGAAGAACACCAGUGGCGAAGGCGGCUCACUGGUCCGGUUCUGACGCUGAGGUGCGAAAGCGUGGGGAGCAAACAGGAUUAGAUACCCAUGUAGUCCCUGAGCGGGCUGGCAAGGCGCAU